RNAcentral lists this long non-coding RNA (1884 nucleotides) under Sorghum bicolor (sorghum). RNAcentral's name for it is "long non-coding RNA (SBIC_LNC002975)". Lineage: Eukaryota; Viridiplantae; Streptophyta; Magnoliopsida; Poales; Poaceae. The record is from RNAcentral.
ACUAUAAUAGAUAUUGAUGAGGACGUUCGUAGGCUAGACAGGAUCAUUAUAGAGCUCCAGUCCUCGGUUAACUCUAUCACUAGGCAGCUCUCUAACCAGAACACCAUUAUAGUAGGUCUCGGGCAUGAUCUUGCUAGUGCCAAUAAGAAGAUUAGGGAGUUAGAGCGCUGCUAAGUUAUCUAGAUUAGAUCUUGAUGCAAUGCAUCUUAGUUAUUUAUCUUUAAAAUUUGAUUUAGAUCUAUUAUUAGCUUCAGUUCAUUACUAGUCAUUUGUAAUAAAUGCCUCAAGAUUAAUAAAGAUUAUUAUUAUUAUUAUUAUUGUUAUUAUUAUUAUUAUUAUUAUUAUGUCUUGUGUGUCUCUACUUUAUUUUUAUGCAAGAAAGUAGAAAACAAGUAUGGGGGAGAUCCCUCGACAUGCCAAACACACUUUGACUACACCACUCCACGAUUCAGGUACAUACUCUGCACACUUUACACAUAAACAUAUCUUGGAUUAUGCAGAAUAUUGUCUCCAACAUAAUAAACAAAAAAGGAUUAAAAUGCCUCUAAUCAUGAUUAAUCUAACUCUGUGAUAUUUCCUGAAAACCUGCAAUUAUUGAAAAAUCAUUUUUCAAACCCUGUGUUAGUGAAAGUCAUUGUGGAAUGUGAGAUGGUAGAGUAUGAGUAUCUUGUUCUUGAUAUCAUUGUUGCUUGGAGAAUUUAUUUAAAAAAAUUACCUACCAUCCUCAGUGUUUUAUAUGCCUGGUAAACCUGAAAAUAUUACUUAAAUAGUUAUAAAAGCUAUCUGCUCUGUUUUGAGUUUGUUCAAAAUGAGUUAGACCCUUGUUGAGAGAUUUAUCAUACUCCUAAGAUCAAGACAUUUAUUCAGAAACAUUCACUCUUCCGAAGUAUUAUUGCGUUAGAGGCAUGGGCUAUGCAAAAAUAAGGAUAUUUCGAGGAAAUAAAAAGGAGCAAGUGCUCGACAACCUCGCAGAAAAAAAAUAGACAAGUGUCCGGCAGUAGAAUUAGGGGUACCUCGGUAUCCACCUAAAAAAAAGAGAAAAGAAAGAAAAUGAUAGCCCAUGGUCCCUCUAAUAAACAAUAUGCCAGCAAGAGUUCACAAGUUUUUAAUUUCCAAAGUCUUUGAUCUAAGAGUAUGACAUUCCUCUCCUCGGAUCCCGUUUUGAUCAGGCAAUAAAUACAAGGUAAGUAUGCUUGAGAAUUUUUGCAAAUUAAAACAGCCUCAGUGAGAUAUACAAAAGAUAAUGAGUGACCUGAGAAAACCUAUGAGGAUAAAGGUAUGCUAAAUUUCUUUUCAUAGUGAAUUUUUACACCCUGCAGGUAUGAAGAAAAUGCUUUACAAUGUUUUAACCACAGAUAUUUUUCUUAACCAUCCUUUUCUCGAGGACGAGUAAAAGCCUAAGUAUGGGGGUGUUUGUUGACGGUUCUUAAGUAUCAAUUUUAAUUAUCAAAUAAACAUGGAAAAGGACCAAUAUACAAACAACACCUAGAAGUAGAGUUUGAUCUGACAGAAUUCCAUGAGUUUUGUUGUUUAUCUGUUUCUGCAGGGGGUUAUUGUAACAGAACCGACCAAAUUAUAAGAGAUUAAGCCUAACAGUGACCAUUUGCAUAGUCAAACCAUCGAGCUUAAGCCCAUAUAAUCCCGGUAGUCCGUGAAAUCUCGAAGGAUUUUAAACCACAUAUCGUACAGACAACCAAGAUCGUAAUAAGUUUAGCGGUCGCCAUCCACAAAUACAUCCAGAUUACAACAUUCAUAAAAUACAUCGGAGUUCUUAAAAUUAUUAUAAACCAAGUUCUUCAAGUAGCGGAAGCUUCAUAGUUCGAAUAUACAACACACACUUAGUCUGAUACAGUGCCAUAGUUCGGUCAUUCCCACAAAAGCAGA